GAUGAGCGCUGGCGGCGUGCUUAACACAUGCAAGUCGAACGAAGCACCUCUCCCGAAGAUUGACACAGCUUGCUGUAGAUUGAUUCAUUUGAGGUGACUGAGUGGCGGACGGGUGAGUAACGCGUGGGUAACCUGCCUCAUAGAGGGGGACAACAGUUGGAAACGACUGCUAAUACCGCAUAGUAAGAAGAAUUCGCAUGUUUUCUUCUUGAAAGAUUUAUCGCUAUGAGAUGGACCCGCGUCUGAUUAGCUAGUUGGUAAGGUAACGGCUUACCAAGGCGACGAUCAGUAGCCGGCUUGAGAGAGUGAACGGCCACAUUGGGACUGAGACACGGCCCACACUCCUACGGGAGGCAGCAGUGGGGAAUAUUGCACAAUGGGGGAAACCCUGAUGCAGCGACGCCGCGUGAGUGAAGAAGUAUUUCGGUAUGUAAAGCUCUAUCAGCAGGGAAGAUAAUGACGGUACCUGACGAAGAAGCCCCGGCUAACUACGUG
This 495-nucleotide ribosomal RNA is filed under the name uncultured bacterium. RNAcentral's name for it is "partial 16S ribosomal RNA". It matches the Rfam family "Bacterial small subunit ribosomal RNA", at positions 28 to 507 of the family's 1533-position model. The record is from RNAcentral.